GACGAACGCUGGCGGCGUGCUUAACACAUGCAAGUCGAGCGGUAAGGCCCUUUCGGGGGUACGACGAGCGGCGAACGGGUGAGUAACACGUGGGUGACCUGCCCUCAGCUCUGGGAUAAGCCUGGGAAACCGGGUCUAAUACUGGAUAUGACUCCAUGACGCAUGUUGUGGGGUGGAAAGCCUUGUGCGGCUGAGGAUGGGCCCGCGGCCUAUCAGCUUGUUGGUGGGGNGAUGGCCUACCAAGGCGACGACGGGUAGCCGGCCUGAGAGGGCGGACCGGCCACACUGGGACUGAGACACGGCCCAGACUCCUACGGGAGGCAGCAGUGGGGAAUCUUGCGCAAUGGGCGAAAGCCUGACGCAGCGACGCCGCGUGAGGGAUGACGGCCUGGU
This 393-nucleotide ribosomal RNA is filed under the name uncultured bacterium. RNAcentral describes it as "bacterial SSU rRNA". It matches the Rfam family "Bacterial small subunit ribosomal RNA", at positions 28 to 420 of the family's 1533-position model. The record is from RNAcentral.